Molecule: long non-coding RNA, 665 nt
Filed under: Fragaria vesca (wild strawberry)
Lineage: Eukaryota; Viridiplantae; Streptophyta; Magnoliopsida; Rosales; Rosaceae
Description: long non-coding RNA (FVES_LNC000790)
Source: RNAcentral
CUCUAGAGUUACGACUAAAAUUUCGGCGGAUCAAAAUUUUUGAUCUGUAACUUUGAUUUUGAAUCCGCGAAGGGUUACGGUUUCGUAUCGAUGCCCUCGUUCUAUCCGUGAAGUUUGGGUUAGAUCCAACGGUGAUUUAUAGAUGACUCGUUUUAGGAGGCUCGGUUUACGAUCGGUAUUUGUGGUGGGGUUUCGUUUUGUCGAGGUGAGUGGAUUUGUAUAAUAUGUUUCAAAUAUUCUUAUUUGUUACCAAAAUAGUCGAAAAACAUGAUUUUAAUCUUUUACGAAAUAUCUCUCUUUUUAUAGGGAAGCAUGUCGAUAUUGCGAAAUAUGUGGUGUUUGUAUAUAUUUAUGUGUUGGAUCUAUUAUUUGACUAGUCAUGAAACAUGUGAACUUCUUGAUUGGUUAUGCCGAAGUAAGGAUGUGACACACCGAGGUAUAGGACAUGAAAGUCAUUAGGUUCCCGUGAGGAUCACUAAAUUGAUCCAAUAAAAAGGGAUUGUGCGAUGUGAUGAAUUGCAAUAAGUGAUGUGUAUACGAUAUACGUAUUUUAUAACGUGUGUAAAAUGACAUGGCUUUGCGGGCAUAUUACAUUGGUCUACUCACUGAGCGCAUGGUUAUGCUCACCCACCCAUCUUUGACAUUUUUUGCAAAAAAAUACUUAG